ACAUAAUGCAACUAGCAAAAUCUAAUUAUCACUCGCUGACAUGAGUAGCGAUAAAGGGAGUGAGAAUCUCCCUCGCCGAAAUCCCAAGGUUUCCUGCGUAAAGCUAAUCUGCGCAGGGUUAGUCGGCCCCCAAGGCGAGGCCAAACGGCGUAGUCGAUGGGAAUCAGGUUAAUAUUCCUGAACCAGUGAGUAGUGACGAAGGACGUAAAUUGUCUAUCCUUAUUGGAUUGGGUAGGCAGUGAAGUACUUCCAGGAAAUAGCUCUCACAUUAGACCGUACCCUAAACCGACACAGGUGGGAAGGUAGAGUAUACCAAGGCGCUUGAGAGAACAACACUGAAGGAACUCGGCAAAUUGCACUUGUAACUUCGGGAGAAGAGUGGCCGUUAUUUGGGCAACCAGAUAGCGGUGGCACAAAAAAGGGGGUAGCGACUGUUUACUAAAAACACAGGGCUCUGCAAAGUCGUAAGACGAAGUAUAGGGCCUGACGCCUGCCCAGUGCCGGAAGGUUAAGAGGAGAUGUGCAAGCAUUGAAUUGAAGCCCCGGUGAACGGCGGCCGUAAAUAUGACGGUCCUAAGGUAGCGAAAUUCCUUGUCGGGUAAGUUCCGACCCGCACGAAUGGCGUAACGACUUCCCCGCUGUCUCCAGUGUUGACUCAGCGAAAUUGAAUUCUCCGUGAAGAUGCGGAGUUCCCGCGGUUAGACGGAAAGACCCCGUGCACCUUUACUACAACUUUACACUGGUGUUAGGGAUUGAAUGUGUAGGAUAGGUGGGAGACUUUGAAGCAUUGACGCCAGUCAGUGUGGAGUCAUCCUUGAAAUACCACCCUUUUAAUCCUUGACAUCUAACCUAGGUCCAUGAAUCUGGAUCAGAGACAAUGUAUGGUGGGUAGUUUGACUGGGGCGGUCGCCUCCUAAAGAGUAACGGAGGCGCGCGAUGGUGAGCUCAAGCUGGUCGGAAAUCAGCUUUUAGAGUGUAAUGGCAGAAGCUCGCCUUACUGCGAGACUGACAAGUCAAGCAGUGACGAAAGUCGGUCAUAGUGAUCCGGUGGUUCCACGUGGAAGGGCCAUCGCUCAACGAAUAAAAGGUACGCCGGGGAUAACAGGCUGAUGAUUCCCUAGAGUCCAUAUCGACGGAAUCGUUUGGCACCUCGAUGUCGACUCAUCACAUCCUGGGGCUGAAGCAGGUCCCAAGGGUUCGGCUGUUCGCCGAUUAAAGUGGUACGUGAGUUGGGUUUAGAACGUCGCGAGACAGUUCGGUUCCUAUCUGCCGUGGGUGUAAGAAAUUUGAGAGGAUCUGUCCCUAGUACGAGAGGACCGGGAUGGACAUACCUCUGGUGCACCAGUUGUCACGCCAGUGGCAUGGCUGGAUAGCUAAGUAUGGAAGGGAUAACCGCUGAAAGCAUCUAAGUGGGAAACCUACCUCAAAAUUAGAUUUCUCUAUCAGAGCCG
Molecule: ribosomal RNA, 1451 nt
Filed under: metagenome
Description: bacterial LSU rRNA
Rfam family: Bacterial large subunit ribosomal RNA
Source: RNAcentral